This is a non-coding RNA of Pelobates cultripes (western spadefoot toad), 1233 nucleotides long. The record is from the annotation of a GenBank genome assembly. Lineage: Eukaryota; Metazoa; Chordata; Amphibia; Anura; Pelobatidae.
UUAAGAAUUUCUAUCAUCUACCGCCCCCCUGGUUAUCCUAGAUUAUUCCUUGAGCACUUUUCUUCCCGGCUUCCCCACUUCCUCUCAUCUAGCAUUCCUUCCCUUAUACUUGGGGAUUUCAAUAUCCCAAUCAAUAACCCCAAUUGCACUGAUGCCUCUCGUCUGCUCUCUGUAACCUCCUCCUUUGGCCUUGCGCAAUGGUCCAAUCUAGCAACCCAUAAAGCAGGAAACACUCUUGAGCUUGCCUUCACCAACCUCUGUACUGCCUCUAAUCUCUCCAAUAUUCUCUUUCCUCUAUCUGACCACGAUCUACUUACUUUUGACAUUGGCAUACCUAAGACCCAAUUGACACCACCGUCUGAACAUCACUCUCACAGAAACCUCCAAUGUCUUGACCUAGAGCAUUUCUCCACUAAUCUCCAAACUCUCCUUUUACCUAUCUCAAACCUCACCUGUCCUGUCCUAGUUCUGCAACCUCCUUCUACAAUUCCACCCUCUCCUCUCCACUAGACAUCAUGGCACCUUGUACAUUUAAACGCCGCAGGCAUCCCCAACAACAACCCUGGCACACCAAGCUUACUCGAUACCUCCAAAAAUGCUCCAGAACUGGUGAACGCUGUUGGAGAAAGUCUCACUGUGCAUCUGACUUUCUCCACUAUAAAUUUAUGCUGAGCUCAUACAGCUUGGCUCUUUCCUCUGCAAAAGUUAAUUACUUCAAUACCCUCAUAACCACACUCUCCCGCGAACCCAAACGACUAUUUCACACAUUUAACUCUUUUCUUCGCCCUGCUGUUCCUCCUCCACCUACUAACUUGACCGCCUCAGACUUUGCAACUCACUUCACUGACAAGAUCUCUACAAUCAGAGAAGAGAUAUCUCAUCUUUCUUCUUCCCCUUAUAAUACUUCCCCUAACUUCACUCCCUCUGCUGUUCUAUGUUCAUUCGCACCCGCUACAUUUGAAGAGGUUUCUGCUCUGCUCCAGUCCUCCCGCCCCACCACCUGCUCCCUAGAUCCAAUUCCAUCGCAUCUCAUCCGUACUCUGUCUUCUUCUCUUUCUCCACCUCUCACUAAAAUUCUCAAUCUCUCUCUCUCUCCUCUGGUAUAUUUCCAUUGCCCUUCAAACAUGCAACUGUAACCCCAAUUCUAAAGAAGCCCAAUCUUGACCCUAACUCCCCAUCCAACUAUCGUCCUAUCUCGCUACUGCCUUUUGCAUCCAAGAUCCUUGAAAAAUU